Molecule: non-coding RNA, 151 nt
Filed under: Phaseolus vulgaris (common bean)
Lineage: Eukaryota; Viridiplantae; Streptophyta; Magnoliopsida; Fabales; Fabaceae
Description: Bacterial large subunit ribosomal RNA
Rfam family: Bacterial large subunit ribosomal RNA
Source: Rfam by way of RNAcentral
UCUAAUUGGUAUCUAAUUAACUACUAAAAUUCUAAAUUGACCUUCGAGUGCAAAGGCAGAAGGAAGCUUGACUGCAAGACCCACCCGUCGAGCAGGGACAAAAAUCGACCUUAGUGAUCCGACGGUGCCGAGUGGAAGGGUCUUCACUCAA